This 589-nucleotide long non-coding RNA is filed under the name Physcomitrium patens. RNAcentral's name for it is "long non-coding RNA (PPAT_LNC005285)". The record is from RNAcentral. Lineage: Eukaryota; Viridiplantae; Streptophyta; Bryopsida; Funariales; Funariaceae.
UGUAGAACCCGAAUCUCGCCACAGACAUAGCAAGGGUCGACACCUCAAGGAUCGCAAAGAUAGGAGGUCAGAGAAGAAAAGAGAUGCUGAUUACAGUGAUCAUGAUGACAGGAAGAAAAGGAAAGUUGAGAAGAGCAGGGAUGUUGAGGAGGGUGAAAUUGAAGACCAACGAGAAAGAGUAGCGAAGAGACGACAUGACGUAGAGAGUGAUAUUGAAGAUCGGAGAGGAAAAAGAUCCGAGAAGAGGAGACAUGAUGUGGACAGUGACCUUGAAGAUCAGAGAGAAAAAAGACCCGAGAAGAGGGGACAUGAUGUGGACAGUGACCUUGAUGAUCGGAGAGAAAUAAGAUCCGAGAAGAGAAGACAUGAUGUGGACAGUGACCUUGAUGAUCGGAGAGAAAUAAGAUCCGAGAAGAGAAGACAUGAAGUGGACAAUGACCUUGAAGAUCAGAGAGAUAAAAGAUCCGAGAAGAGAAGGGACGUUGAGAACAGUGAUUUCGAAGAUCUAAGGGACAAGAGAGUCGAGAGUACAAUGUCACGGAUGGAAGACAGUGAAGAUGGUGAUGAAAGGCAUCGUAGGAAGGAUCGG